RNAcentral lists this long non-coding RNA (1184 nucleotides) under Bos grunniens (domestic yak). Its description in RNAcentral is "lncRNA (ENSBGRG00000026059.1)". Lineage: Eukaryota; Metazoa; Chordata; Mammalia; Artiodactyla; Bovidae. The record is from RNAcentral.
CCAGCUUGUGCUUCAUACAGUCUGGCAUUUUAGAUGAUAUACUCUGCAUAUAAGUUAAAUAAGCAGGGUGACAAUAUAUAGCCUUGAUGUACUACUUUCCCAAUUUGGAACCAGCCCAUUGUUCCAUGUCCAAUUCUAACUGUUGCUUCUUGACCAACAGUUAGAACCGACCAUGGUACUGUUUGUAGUGGUUGCCAAUGUCUGUGGUAUUGGCACUCCCACCAUUUCAAUUUCAACUUACCUUUUGGUAUCACUGAAUGCAGAAUUGGAAAGAGGGGCUAAAAAUUGGCUUCCAGGAGCAGCAUGGAUGGACUUUCACACACCAGUAACCGUUGAUGGGAGAGACACCCCAUGGCUCAGAUUUACGAAAAUAUGCAUCAGAUUUGAAACCGCUUACCUGAAAUGAGUAUGCCAUUAUAUCAGAGCUGUAAGUGAGAAACAUGUUAUUUUUCUUCUUUUACCAGUGAAACAAGUUUUUGUUUUUUUUUUCAGACAUAUCCUUGUAAUUUCUUUUUUUUGCAGUUCUUUCAAGUCGUUAUCUGGAAAAUUUCCUGAAAUUGCCAAGAAUCUGCCACUUUCAAUAAUAUCAACUCUGAAAGAGAGAGAGAGGCUAGGAGAGACCGUGGGGGACAGAAGUGUUGAUUGCUGCCCAUGGCCAUGCUGGUUUCUUUUCUUCCCCUGUGUAAAGACUGCUGGCUUGGUAUCUCUGGACUCUAGCAGCGCUGGAGAAGAAAUUGGGAUUGUAAAAGAAAUCUUCGUUUUCUGUAAAAAUGUCCUCAAGGAAGUUCAACUCAAUUGCCUUCCUCUGAAAAAGACGCUAAACUACGUGAUUGUUCGAUGCUCCUGGAAAGAAAUAUCUGUUUCAUUUGAAGUUUCCAUUUUACCCUUGAAACCUAGGUUUGAUGGUGUGAGAAAUGCUUGCCUUCCUUUCUUUCUCCUGGUUGAGUUACAGAGAAUCAUUAGGUGCUUAUUAGACUAAUGUGAAGGCAGAUAACACCGGUUAUGGAGCCCAUGACUCAUUUUUAAAUUUUACCAGUUCUCUUUCACUUACUGCCUAAAUUGCAGGCUUUCUUGUGACAGGUAGCUCUGAAAUAGUAGAUAUCAAAAUUUAUGACUUAAAAAAGUUAAGGUGCUUAUCUUUAGAAAAUUCCUGGUAUGAGCCAAUUACCAACCUCUUUACUUUC